AACGAACGCUGGCGGCAUGCCUAACACAUGCAAGUCGAACGAGAAGCCAUCUUCGGGUGGUGGAAAGUGGCGCACGGGUGAGUAACGCGUGGGAACCUGCCCCGAGGUUCGGAAUAACGGCUGGAAACGGCCGCUAAUACCGGAUGUGACUCGAGGGUGAAAGAUUUAUCGCCUUGGGAGGGGCCCGCGUCCGAUUAGCUAGUUGGUGUGGUAAUGGCGCACCAAGGCUUCGAUCGGUAGCUGGCCUGAGAGGAUGAUCAGCCACACUGGGACUGAGACACGGCCCAG
This 288-nucleotide ribosomal RNA is filed under the name uncultured bacterium. Its description in RNAcentral is "partial 16S ribosomal RNA". It matches the Rfam family "Bacterial small subunit ribosomal RNA", at positions 29 to 334 of the family's 1533-position model. The record is from RNAcentral.